This 914-nucleotide ribosomal RNA is filed under the name uncultured marine archaeon. RNAcentral's name for it is "bacterial SSU rRNA". It matches the Rfam family "Archaeal small subunit ribosomal RNA", at positions 1 to 921 of the family's 1478-position model. The record is from RNAcentral.
UUCCGGUUGAUCCUGCCGGAGGCUACCGCUAUUGGAGUUCGAUUAAGCCAUGCGAGUCCAGAGCUUUCGGAGCUCGGCGUACCGCUCAGUAACACGUGGGUAACCUAACCUAUGCAGGGGAAUAACCUCGGGAAACUGAGAAUAAUGCCCCAUAGUCCACUACGCCUGGAACGGUGAGUGGAUGAAAGCUCAGGCGGCAUAGGAUGGGCCUGCGGCGUAUCAGGUUGUAGGGGGUGUAAAGUACCCUCUAGCCCUCUACGCGUACGGGUGUUGGGAGACAUAGCCCGGAGAUGGAUUCUGAGACACGAAUCCAGACCCUACGGGGUGCAGCAGGCGCGAAAACUUGGCAAUGCGAGCAAUCGUGACCAGGGAACUCCAAGUGGCUGGGGUAAGACCCAGUCUUUUCAGAACUCUUCAAAGGUUUUAGAAUAAGGGGUGGGUAAGGACGGUGCCAGCCGCCGCGGUAAUACCGGCGCCUCAAGUGGUAGUCGCUUUUAUUGGGCCUAAAACGUCCGUAGCCGGUCUGAUACAUUCGUGGGUAAAUCAACCAGCUUAACUGGUUGAAUUCUGCGAGGACGGUCAGACUUGGGACCGGGAGAGGUGUGGGGUACGCUCAGGGUAGGGGUAAAAUCCUGUCAUCCUGAGCGGACCACCUGUUGCGAAGGCGCCACACUAGAACGGAUCCGACGGUCAGGGACGAAGCCUAGGGGCACGAACCGGAUUAGAUACCCGGGUAGUCCUAGGUGUAAACGCUGUGGACUUGAUGUUGGGGGUGCUCCGAGCACUCUCAGUGUCGAAGCGAAGGUGAUAAGUCCACUGCCUGGGAAGUACGGUCGCAAGGCUGAAACUUAAAGGAAUUGGCGGGGGAGCACCGCAACCUGAGGAUUGUGCGGUUUAAUUGGAUUCAACGCCGG